This 253-nucleotide ribosomal RNA is filed under the name uncultured bacterium. RNAcentral describes it as "partial 16S ribosomal RNA". It matches the Rfam family "Bacterial small subunit ribosomal RNA", at positions 524 to 776 of the family's 1533-position model. The record is from RNAcentral.
UACAGAGGGUGCAAGCGUUAAUCGGAAUUACUGGGCGUAAAGCGUGCGUAGACGGUUAUGUAAGUCGGGUGUGAAAGCCCCGGGCUCAACCUGGGAAUGCCAUUCGAGACUGCGUAGCUAGGGUGCGGAAGAGGGAAGCGGAAUUUCCGGUGUAGCGGUGAAAUGCGUAGAUAUCGGAAGGAACACCAGUGGCGAAAGCGGCUUCCUGGUCCAGCACCGACGUUCAGGCACGAAAGCGUGGGGAGCAAACAGG